Long non-coding RNA from Neoarius graeffei (lesser salmon catfish), 156 nucleotides. RefSeq lists it as uncharacterized. NCBI's taxonomy places the organism in Eukaryota, Metazoa, Chordata, Actinopteri, Siluriformes, Ariidae. The transcript is spliced from 3 exons. The record is from RefSeq and is a predicted model, not a curated record.
GAGAAGAACAUACAAAGUGCCUGCACCGUUGUCUCUGGUUCAUAUUGACACCAAUCAUAAACUGAUACGAUAUGGUCUGGUGAUCUUCGGAGCCAUUGACGGCUUCUCCAGAAAAGUGAUGUACUUACGGGUUGCAAACAACAACCAAGCGGCCAC